ACCCUCCCCUCUCCUUGGGAACCCACCCAGAGGUGCCCAGCCCCGAGCUGCCCCUCUGCAGACCCCCGGCACAGGUGCUGAUAGACCUCCGAGGUGCCCCCACCCCAUAGAGGGGCACUGUGGGGGCUCUGUGCAGCACACAGCGAUGUGCAGCCCCUCAGGUGCUGCAGGGGCUCAGGACCCCUCUAAGAGAGCUGGGACCACCCAAAACCAUCCCAGCUGCCCGGUGGGUGUUCCCAGGGGGACCCAUCCUCUGGCAUUCCAGGGCAGGGCGUGUGUGCUGCCCCCUGCCCCGGGAAGUACCAGCAGUGGUGUGGGUGGGAGGCGAGGGGCUGAGCGUCCCAUUCUGCACUUCUGGGAACUGUGAUGCUGCUGUGACUGCACCUUGGGGCAGCCCCGUGGAGUCCAGCCCACUAUAAGACCACAGCCCCCGGCUCUGCCGAGCCCACCAGAGGCACAAACAGAGAUGCUGGUGCUGGUGGGACUGGCGCUGUUCCUUGUGCCUGCAGAAUCCCUGACUGCCUUCCCCCCAAAGUUCCAGGUGGGGAAGCUCAACCAGGACGUGGUGGUGAGAUGUGACACUUCAGAGCAGCACAUCUACUGGACACUGAACGGGGAUGAGGAACCCAUGGCUGAACUGGUGCCUGAGGGCCAGAAGCUCACCAUCGUCGGCUUGGACCUGCCAGCCACUGGCAACUACAGCUGCUGGGCUGGCCCUGGUCACCUGCUGGACACCACCUACGUGGUGCUCAGCAGCACCCGUACGGAGGGGCCUGGCUGGGGGUGAUGGGGUGCAGGGGGUGGGGGGCUGAGGAGCAGGAGAUUCUCACACCCAGCCCAUGGCCAUGAGGAGCAGGAGAUUCUCACGGCCAUGAGGAGCAGGAGGUUCUCAUGGCCAUGAGGAGCAGGAGGUUCUCAUGGCCAUGAGGAGCAGGAGAUUCUCACGGCCAUGAGGAGCAGGAGAUUCUCAUGGCCAUGAGGAGCAGGAGAUUCUCAUGCCCAGCCCAUGGGCAUGAGGAGCAGGAGAUUCUCAUGGGCAUGAGGAGCAGGAGAUUCUCAUGGGCACGAGGAGCAGGAGAUUCUCAUGCCCAGCUCAUGGCCAUGAGGAGCAGGAGAUUCUCAUGGCCAUGAGGAGCAGGAGAUUCUCAUGGCCAUGAGGAGCAGGAGAUUCUCAUGGCCAUGAGGAGCAGGAGAUUCUCAUGCCCAGCCCAUGGCCAUGAGGAGCAGGAGAUUCUCAUGACCAUGAGGAGCAGGAGAUUCUCACACCCAGCCCAUGGCCAUGAGGAGCAGGAGACUCUCAUGCCCAGCCCAAGGCCAUGAGGGCUGUGGGGCCGAGGGGAUCCCCACCAGUGCCAUGCAGGGAGGGGGUCCCACUCCUGGCCUCAUGCAGCCCCUGACCAACCAUCCCUCAACCCCCCAGGCGAGGAGGAGCUCAACGUGUCCUGCCAGGCCGAGUCCUACAACGGCUCCUUCCACUGCUCCUGGCCCGGGCCCCCCUCUGCCAUCUUCCGUGCCCGCCUCAUACGCAGGUGGGUGCCCUGGAACCCCCCAAACCCACCCCAGCACCCCCACCACCCUGCCCUGAGGGUUGCUCACACCUCCCUGCCCACAGCGAUGGCUCCGUGGGGCCGUGGGUACCGGUGACCAGUGAGCAGGACCAGUUCAGCACCAGUUUGGCAGACACUUUGUUCUGCCCCUUCGGAGAGGAGCUGCGCCCGCUGCAGCUGCACCUGGAGGGGCUUUCGGACACCUCCUACCUCAACCUCUCCAGGCAUUUCUUCCUGCGUGACAUCGGUGAGCUCAGGGCAGGAGAAGUGGGGUGGGGGUGUCCAAGAGGUGCUGGAGGUUUUGGGUGGGGGGUCUCACCCCUGUUCUGAGCCCUCUGUGUGCACAGUGCGUCCUGAGCCGCCCCAGAAGCUGAUCCUGCAGCAGCGAGGGGAGCAGCUCCACCUGGCCUGGGCCCCCCCGGCCUCCUGGCCGCUCCCCAAGUCCUACUUUGCGCUGCUCUACCACCUGCAGUACGAGCUGCACAACGGCAGCCAGGUAAUGGGGGGAUCUCUGCCCCUGUGCGGGCACCCCAUGUGUCCACCCUGUGCCUCUUCCCUUCUUGGGGUGAUCAGUUGUCACCCCUGGGUGUCACCUCUGCUCCCCACAGCGCUGCCGGGCUCGGGGGGUGCUGGUGUCCCCCUCCCCGAGGGUCUCCCCAUGCCAUGCCCUGCUCCUUUUGCAGGUUGAGCAGUUCGUGGAGGGUGUGGAGGAGACGCCGGUGCCGGUGGGAGCGGGGUGGGUGCGGAUCAGCUGCCGGGACCCCUACACCCCCCCGGCCUGGAGCCCCUGGAGCGCCUGGAUGGGCCUCGAUGCACCCCAAUAACGGCGGUUUUGAGGGUGCUGACCCCACAAACCUGCUUUCCCCACAACCCCCAUGCCUUAACAGCUUGGAAAAAGGAUUUUUUUUUUUGC
RNAcentral lists this long non-coding RNA (2460 nucleotides) under Taeniopygia guttata (zebra finch). RNAcentral's name for it is "lncRNA (ENSTGUG00000022023.1)". Lineage: Eukaryota; Metazoa; Chordata; Aves; Passeriformes; Estrildidae. The record is from RNAcentral.